AUAAAACGGACGGAGCCAUCUGGAGCCAUCGGGAAUCAGUCGUAUGGUAUGUGAACGUACAUUGGUAUCGUAACGAAAGUACGACCAGUGUAUAUUAGUAGCAUCCGCUCGACGCAUUUCUCGAAGGUAAGCGCCGCGACCGAUACGAAAGGCCAGUGAAGCGAUUCGAUUGAGGUCGAGGCCCGCAAGGGUCUUGCUACCAGUCUUUUCGCGUGAGUCGCUGGACCGCAGUAUGUAUCGAGCGCCGGAAAUUAUAUACGUCGGCCAAAAAGCUCACUUGAGUAGCGUAUAGUUGGUUCAUUAGCUGGUACCUGCUCGCAGGUGCUGGCGACUCGGGUCGACUAGAAGUUACCAGUGACGUAGACGUAUUGGCGUCGGCGGCGUCAGAGUUGGCCACCCAUCCGACCCGUCUUGAAACACGGACCAAGGAGUCUAACAUAUGCGCGAGCUAAUGGGUGGAAAACCCAAAGGCGCAAUAAAAGUAAAGGCUGUUUCGGACAGCUAAGGUACGAUCCUGGAGUCCAGGCUCCAGGCGCAGUACCGUCCCGUCUCGACCGC
RNAcentral lists this ribosomal RNA (558 nucleotides) under Metaxonchium sp. 1 IVB-2018. RNAcentral describes it as "LSU rRNA". It matches the Rfam family "Eukaryotic large subunit ribosomal RNA", at positions 414 to 778 of the family's 3401-position model. The record is from RNAcentral. Lineage: Eukaryota; Metazoa; Nematoda; Enoplea; Dorylaimida; Belondiridae.